GCCUAAAGCGUCCGUAGCCGGCUUUGUAAGUUUUCGGUUAAAUCCAUAUGCUCAACAUAUGGGCCGCCGGGAAUACUGCAAAGCUAGGGAGUGGGAGAGGUAGACGGUACUCCGUAGGAAGGGGUAAAAUCCUUUGAUCUAUGGAUGACCACCUGUGGCGAAGGCGGUCUACCAGAACAUGUUCGACGGUGAGGGAUGAAAGCUGGGGGAGCAAACCGGAUUAGAUACCCGGGUAGUCCCAGCUGUAAACUAUGCAAACUCAGUGAUGCAUUGGCUUGUGGCCAGUGCAGUGCCGCAGAGAAGUCGUUAAGUUUGCCGCCUGGGAAGUACGUACGCAAGUAUGAAACUUAAAGGAAUUGGCGGGGGAGCACCACAAGGGGUGAAGCCUGCGGUUCAAUUGGAGUCAACGCCAGAAAUCUUACCCGGAGAGACAGCAGGAUGAAGGUCAAGCUGAAGACUUUACCAGACAAGCUGAGAAGUGGUGCACGGCCGUCGCCAGCUCGUGCCGUGAGAUGUCCUGUUAAGUCAGGUAACGAGCGAGAUCCUUGCCUCUAGUUGCCACCAUUACUCUCAGGAGUAGUGGGGCGAAUUAGCGGGACUGCCGUAGUUAAUACGGAGGAAGGAGAGGGCCACGGCAGGUCAGUAUGCCCCGAA
RNAcentral lists this ribosomal RNA (654 nucleotides) under uncultured archaeon. Its description in RNAcentral is "bacterial SSU rRNA". It matches the Rfam family "Archaeal small subunit ribosomal RNA", at positions 508 to 1160 of the family's 1478-position model. The record is from RNAcentral.